GACGAACGCUGGCGGCGUGCCUAAUACAUGCAAGUAGAACGCACAGUUUAUACCGUAGCUUGCUACACCAUAGACUGUGAGUUGCGAACGGGUGAGUAACGCGUAGGUAACCUGCCUGGUAGCGGGGGAUAACUAUUGGAAACGAUAGCUAAUACCGCAUAAUAUUGAUUAUUGCAUGAUAAUUGAUUGAAAGAUGCUAUUGCAUCACUACCAGAUGGACCUGCGUUGUAUUAGCUAGUAGGUGAGGUAACGGCUCACCUAGGCGACGAUACAUAGCCGACCUGAGAGGGUGAUCGGCCACACUGGGACUGAGACACGGCCCAGACUCCUACGGGAGGCAGCAGUAGGGAAUCUUCGGCAAUGGACGAAAGUCUGACCGAGCAACGCCGCGUGAGUGAAGAAGGUUUUCGGAUCGUAAAGCUCUGUUGUAAGAGAAGAACGGGUGUGAGAGUGGAAAGUUCACCCUGUGACGGUAUCUUACCAGAAAGGGACGGCUAACUACGUG
RNAcentral lists this ribosomal RNA (505 nucleotides) under uncultured bacterium. RNAcentral's name for it is "partial 16S ribosomal RNA". It matches the Rfam family "Bacterial small subunit ribosomal RNA", at positions 28 to 507 of the family's 1533-position model. The record is from RNAcentral.